UUUCCAUGCAAUAUUUAUUGGUU
Molecule: small nuclear RNA, 23 nt
Filed under: Arabidopsis thaliana (thale cress)
Lineage: Eukaryota; Viridiplantae; Streptophyta; Magnoliopsida; Brassicales; Brassicaceae
Description: snRNA_09422
Source: RNAcentral